This 252-nucleotide ribosomal RNA is filed under the name uncultured bacterium. RNAcentral's name for it is "partial 16S ribosomal RNA". It matches the Rfam family "Bacterial small subunit ribosomal RNA", at positions 524 to 776 of the family's 1533-position model. The record is from RNAcentral.
GACGAACCGUGCGAACGUUGUUCGGAAUCACUGGGCUUAAAGGGCGCGUAGGCGGCUUGCCAAGUCAGGGGUGAAAUCUUGCGGCUCAACCGUAAUAAGCCUUUGAUACUGGCAGGCUCGAGGGAGGUAGGGGCAUGUGGAACUUCUGGUGGAGCGGUGAAAUGCGUUGAUAUCAGAAGGAACGCCGGUGGCGAAAGCGACGUGCUGGAUCUCUUCUGACGCUGAGGCGAGAAAGCUAGGGUAGCGAACGGG